CCUACGGGAGGCAGCAGUGGGGAAUUUUCCGCAAUGGGCGAAAGCCUGACGGAGCAAUACCGCGUGAGGGAGGAAGGCUCUUGGGUCGUAAACCUCUUUUCUCUGGGAAGAUAAUGACGGUACCAGAGGAAUAAGCAUCGGCUAACUCCGUGCCAGCAGCCGCGGUAAUACGGAGGAUGCAAGCGUCAUCCGGAAUGAUUGGGCGUAAAGAGUCCGUAGGUGGUACAGAAAGUCUGUGGUUAAAGCGCGAAGCUCAACUUCGUAAAGGCCAUGGAAACUGCUGAACUAGAGUGAGAUAGGGGUAGAGGGAAUUCUUGGUGUAGCGGUGAAAUGCGUAGAUAUCAAGAAGAACACCGGUGGCGAAAGCGCUCUACUGGAUCUUAACUGACACUGAGGGACGAAAGCUAGGGGAGCGAAAGGGAUUAGAUACCCCUGUAGUCCUAGCCGUAAACGAUGGAUACUAGUUGUUGCGGGUAUCGACCCCUGCAGUGACGAAGCUAACGCGUUAAGUAUCCCGCCUGGGGAGUACGCACGCAAGUGUGAAACUNAAAGGAUUGACCGGNUGNGAGNGCGAGCGACGACGAGGGAGAGG
Molecule: ribosomal RNA, 592 nt
Filed under: uncultured bacterium
Lineage: Bacteria
Description: bacterial SSU rRNA
Rfam family: Bacterial small subunit ribosomal RNA
Source: RNAcentral